AUGAACGCUAGCGGCAGGCUUAACACAUGCGAGUCGAGGGGUAUAGUUCUUCGGAACUAGAGACCGGCGCACGGGUGCGUAACGCGUAUGCAAUCUACCUUUUACAGAGGGAUAGCCCAGAGAAAUUUGGAUUAAUACCUCAUAGUAUGCAGAGUUGGCAUCAACACUGUAUUAAAGUCACAACGGUAAAAGAUGAGCAUGCGUCCCAUUAUCUAGUUGGUAAGGUAACGGCUUACCAAGGCGACGAUGGGUAGGGGUCCUGAGAGGGAGAUCCCCCACACUGGUACUGAGACACGGACCAGACUCCUACGGGAGGCAGCAGUGAGGAAUAUUGGUCAAUGGACGCAAGUCUGAACCAGCCAUGCUGCGUUCAGGAUGACGGUCCUAUGGAUUGUAAACUGCUUUUGUACGAGAAGAAACCCUCCAACGUGUUGGAGCUUGACGGUAUCGUAAGAAUAAGGAUCGGCUAACUCCGUGCCAGCAGCCGCGGUAAUACGGAGGAUCCAAGCGUUAUCCGGAAUCAUUGGGUUUAAAGGGUCCGUAGGCGGUUUAGUAAGUCAGUGGUGAAAGCCCAUCGCUCAACGGUGGAACGGCCAUUGAUACUGCUAGACUUGAAUUAUUAGGAAGUAACUAGAAUAUGUAGUGUAGCGGUGAAAUGCUUAGAGAUUACAUGGAAUACCAAUUGCGAAGGCAGGUUACUACUAAUGGAUUGACGCUGAUGGACGAAAGCGUGGGUAGCGAACAGGAUUAGAUACCCUGGUAGUCCACGCCGUAAACGAUGGAUACUAGCUGUUGGAAGCAAUUUCAGUGGCUAAGCGAAAGUGAUAAGUAUCCCACCUGGGGAGUACGUUCGCAAGAAUGAAACUCAAAGGAAUUGACGG
This 881-nucleotide ribosomal RNA is filed under the name uncultured bacterium. RNAcentral's name for it is "bacterial SSU rRNA". It matches the Rfam family "Bacterial small subunit ribosomal RNA", at positions 29 to 916 of the family's 1533-position model. The record is from RNAcentral.